RNAcentral lists this ribosomal RNA (386 nucleotides) under uncultured bacterium. Its description in RNAcentral is "bacterial SSU rRNA". It matches the Rfam family "Bacterial small subunit ribosomal RNA", at positions 30 to 417 of the family's 1533-position model. The record is from RNAcentral.
AUUGAACGCUGGCGGCAUGCCUUACACAUGCAAGUCGAACGGCAGCGGGCCUUCGGGUGCCGGCGAGUGGCGAACGGGUGAGUAAUGCAUCGGAACGUGCCAUUGAGUGGGGGAUAACGUAGCGAAAGUUGCGCUAAUACCGCAUAUUCUGUGAGCAGGAAAAGCAGGGGACCGCAAGGCCUUGCGCUCUUUGAGCGGCCGAUGUCAGAUUAGCUAGUUGGUGAGGUAAAGGCUUACCAAGGCGACGAUCUGUAGCGGGUCUGAGAGGAUGAUCCGCCACACUGGAACUGAGACACGGUCCAGACUCCUACGGGAGGCAGCAGUGGGGAAUUUUGGACAAUGGGGGCAACCCUGAUCCAGCCAUGCCGCGUGAGUGAAGAAGGCCU